GUUGGUGAUGAUUUUGUUGGGGAUAAAACAAUUAAAACGGACUAAAAUGUGCUAAAUACAUAAUCAUCCCGGUUCAGUUUAUUGAAGCAGGAAAACAACGGAAUUUCACUGACUCGUGAAUGCUGAUAAUGCGUCGCUUCGCACAGCGCCAGGAAAUUGGCUAAUCCGUGGAUCUGCCGGCGAACCUUGCGAAGGUGAACUUGUUAAGUGCACAUACGUACGCGAAAGGGGUCCUGAUAACGCAGCUCAAAGUAUUCAGCCUUCUACACUCGGUAACGGCGGAGAGUGCGGCAAAAUCAAUCGAUCACUGUGCUUUUAAACAAAUGUUAAAAUAUCGUUCUUAACUGAUAAUAAUGAAUUCCUCAAUAUUUUUAAGUAAGUAUACAGAAAAUCUUAGAAAAUGUAAAAAGCAAUAUAAGGCAAUAAAUACGAAA
Long non-coding RNA from Armigeres subalbatus, 434 nucleotides. RefSeq lists it as uncharacterized. NCBI's taxonomy places the organism in Eukaryota, Metazoa, Arthropoda, Insecta, Diptera, Culicidae. The record is from RefSeq and is a predicted model, not a curated record. The transcript has 3 exons.